GUCGAGCGGUAAGGCCUUUCGGGGUACACGAGCGGCGAACGGGUGAGUAACGCGUGGGUGAUCUGCCCUGCACUUCGGGAUAAGCCUGGGAAACUGGGUCUAAUACCGGAUAUGACCUCCUAUCGCAUGGUGGGUGGUGGAAAGAUUUAUCGGUGCAGGAUGGGCCCGCGGCCUAUCAGCUUGUUGGUGGGGUAAUGGCCUACCAAGGCGACGACGGGUAGCCGACCUGAGAGGGUGACCGGCCACACUGGGACUGAGACACGGCCCAGACUCCUACGGGAGGCAGCAGUGGGGAAUAUUGCACAAUGGGCGAAAGCCUGAUGCAGCGACGCCGCGUGAGGGAUGACGGCCUUCGGGUUGUAAACCUCUUUCAGCAGGGACGAAGCGCAAGUGACGGUACCUGCAGAAGAAGCACCGGCUAACUACGUGCCAGCAGCCGCGGUAAUACGUAGGGUGCAAGCGUUGUCCGGAAUUACUGGGCGUAAAGAGUUCGUAGGCGGUUUGUCGCGUCGUUUGUGAAAACCAGCAGCUCAACUGCUGGCUUGCAGGCGAUACGGGCAGACUUGAGUACUGCAGGGGAGACUGGAAUUCCUGGUGUAGCGGUGAAAUGCGCAGAUAUCAGGAGGAACACCGGUGGCGAAGGCGGGUCUCUGGGCAGUAACUGACGCUGAGGAACGAAAGCGUGGGUAGCGAACAGGAUUAGAUACCCUGGUAGUCCACGC
Molecule: ribosomal RNA, 722 nt
Filed under: uncultured bacterium
Lineage: Bacteria
Description: bacterial SSU rRNA
Rfam family: Bacterial small subunit ribosomal RNA
Source: RNAcentral